RNAcentral lists this ribosomal RNA (500 nucleotides) under uncultured bacterium. RNAcentral describes it as "bacterial SSU rRNA". It matches the Rfam family "Bacterial small subunit ribosomal RNA", at positions 28 to 520 of the family's 1533-position model. The record is from RNAcentral.
GAUGAACGCUGGCGGCGUGCUUAACACAUGCAAGUCGAACGAAGCACUUACCAAGGAUUCUUUCGGGAUGACUAAUAAGUGACUGAGUGGCGGACGGGUGAGUAACGCGUGGGUAACCUACCUCACACAGGGGGAUAACAGUUAGAAAUGACUGCUAAUACCGCAUAAGCGCACAGUGCUGCAUGGCACAGUGUGAAAAACUCCGGUGGUGUGAGAUGGACCCGCGUCUGAUUAGCUGGUUGGUGAGGUAACGGCCCACCAAGGCAACGAUCAGUAGCCGGCCUGAGAGGUUGAACGGCACAUUGGGACUGAGACACGGGCCCAGACUCCUACGGGAGGCAGCAGUGGGGAAUAUUGGGCAAUGGGCGAAAGCCUGACCCAGCGACGCCGCGUGAAGGAAGAAGGUACUUCGGGAAUUGUAAACUUCUUUUAAUCAGGGACGAAUACUGACGGUACCUGAUGAAUAAGCCACGGCUAAACUACGUGCCAGCAGCCGACGG